UCCCCGGCCUCUUUUCCUGCAUCACCACCGCGGGCCAGUCUUUCCCCGAUCGCUACACUCCGAUGCUCCCUCCUCCGCGGCCUACCCCUUCCUAAUCGCGUCGUUGCCGCCGCCGCCGCCGCUGCGAGGCGGCCGCUGCCCUUUUCCGCUCGCUUUGUAUGGAAACGCGCAGCCGCAAGCGGGCUGAGGCCUCCUCUUCUUGCGCGACCUCCUCGUCCCGCUCCUCGAAGCGCUCGCGUCCCAACCCUAACCCUAACCCCCCCGCAAACACUGCCGCCAAGCCCGCGCCGGCGCCACCACGGACCCGCCGCUCCGCCGCUGCCAACCCCCUCCCCGCGAUGGACUCCUCGGGCGACAACAAUCCCAACCCCAACCUGCUGCCGCGACGCCGCGGCCGCUCCUCCAACGCAGAUAAAGGUAAGGAGCAGCAGCAGCCGGAGCCCUCUGAGAGCUCCCGAGUGCGUGAGGCCGAGCGGCUACUGGGCUUAGGUUUCAAGGGCACUGAGGACGACGACGACGCCGGAUUCGGUGCUGGUGCCAUCCCCCACAGCCUGACCUCAGCGAGCACUGCUCUCCAGGGGCUGCUUAGGAAGCUGGGCGCUGGCCUGGAUGACAUCCUUCCUUCGUCGGCCCUGUCAGCCGCAGCUGCGUCAUCAUCAUCAGCAUCCGGACAGUUGGGUGGGAGGUUGAAGAAGGUACUUGUGGGGCUGCGUGCGGAUGGGGAGGACGGGCGGCAGGUGGAGGCACUGACACAACUCUGUGAGAUGCUGUCCAUUGGCACAGAAGAAUCACUCAGAGCAUUCUCGGUGGACUCGUUUGUCCCUGUCCUGGUUGGGCUGCUCAAUCACGAGAGCAACCCAGACAUCAUGCUGCUUGCUGCACGUGCCCUAACUCACCUCUGUGAUGUGCUUCCAUCUUCCUGCUCUGCUGUUGUGCAUUAUGGUGCUGUGCCCUGCUUUUGCGCCCGGCUUCUCACCAUUGAAUACAUGGACUUGGCGGAGCAGUCUUUGCAAGCUCUUAAGAAAAUAUCCCUGGAGCAUCCAACUGCCUGCUUGCGGGCUGGUGCGCUAAUGGCAGUUCUAUCAUACCUUGACUUUUUCUCCACAGGUGUUCAGAGAGUUGCAUUAUCUACAGCUGCUAAUAUGUGUAGGAAACUUCCUUCCGAUGCAUCCGAUUUUGUAAUGGAAGCGGUUCCACUUCUUACAAAUCUACUGAACUACCAUGAUUCAAAAGUACUGGAGCAUGCUUCUGUCUGCCUUACCCAUAUCGUGGAAGCUUUUUCAUCAUCCCCAGAAAAAUUGGAUGAGUUAUGCAAUCAUGGAUUGGUUGCACAAGCUGCUAGCCUAAUAUCUGUUAGCAACUCAGCAGGACAGGCAUCCUUGAGUACAUCGACAUAUACGGGUGUGAUUCGUCUUCUCUCAAUAUGCGCAAGCGGAUCACCAUUGGCAUCUAAAACACUUCUCCUCCUUGGAAUUAGUGGUAUACUUAAAGAUGUCCUUUCAGGCUCUGGGUUGGUUGCUGGUACGACAGUAACCCCUACUUUAACAAGACCAGCUGAUCAGAUUAUUGAGAUCGUGAAGCUUGCAGAUGAGUUGCUUCCUCCACUACCUGUUGGAACCAUUUCAUUACCUAUGUAUUCUGAUGUUCACAUGAAAGGUUCUUCUGUAAAGAAAUCCACCUGUAGUAAGCAGGGUGAACCUGGUUCAAUAGAAAAUGAAUUAUCAGGUCGGGAGAAGUUAUUGCGUGAUCAGCCUGAACUCCUGCAUCAGUUUGGUAUGGAUUUGUUACCUAUCAUGACACAGGUGUAUGGCUCUAGCGUAAGUGGAUCAGUACGCCAUAAAUGCUUAUCUGUCAUUGGGAAAUUAAUGUACUAUAGCUCAGCCGAGAUGAUCCAAUCUCUCCUUAGCACAACAAACAUUUCCAGCUUUUUAGCUGGCAUUUUAGGUUGGAAAGAUCCACAAGUGCUGAUCCCUGCUCUUCAGAUAGCAGAAGUUCUAAUGGAAAAGCUUCCAGAGAUAUUUUUAAAAAUGUUUGUGCGGGAAGGCGUUGUUCAUGCUGUAGAGUUACUUAUAUGCCCAGAGUUCUCUGGUCAGGUCACUCCUCAAAUGUCACAGCUGGACAAUCAUGUCGAUUCCAUUACAUCUUCUUGUUCUAGGCGCAACCGCUGUCGGAAUAAUGCUGUGAAUACUGAAAACAACUUGCCUGAUGAACCAAAAGGUUCCCAUUCUGUGAUUGCCAAUGCGCUACUAAGCACAACUGAGGUUCAAAAUAAUGAUCUUUGUGCUUUAGUUAGUAAUCUUGCAAAGUCAUUUAAAGAUAAGUAUUUCCCUUCAGAGCCUGGCUCAACUGACAUUUCGGUGACUGAUGACCUCCUUAAACUGAGGGUGCUUUGUGCGAAACUGAAUACAACAGCUGACACUAUCAAAACAAAAGCUAAAGGAAAAUCUAAGGCUACAAUGGGCAAUAGUUUUGAUGUCAUAUGCAAUGUUGAAGACCAGUUGGAUAGUAUAAUUGCUGAAAUGUUAUCUGAGCUUAGCAAAGGGGAUGGUGUUUCGACAUUUGAGUUUAUUGGAAGUGGAGUUGUUACAGCAUUGCUAAACUAUCUGUCAUGUGGGUCAUUUGGGAGGGAAAAGGUGCCUGAAGCAAACUUACCAAAUUUGCGUCAUCAGGCAGUGAGGCGAUAUAAGGCAUUUAUAUCUGUUGCCCUUCCAAAUUAUGAAGAUGGGAAUAGAACUCCUAUGGCAUUGCUAGUUCAGAAACUGCAAGGUGCACUCUCUUCAUUGGAGCAUUUUCCAGUUGUGCUUAGCCAUUCUGGAAGGGUACAAACUUUGGGAGGAUCGCGUCUGGUGACUGGUUUAGGAACUCUUUCACAGCCCUUCAAGUUGCGCCUUUGUCGAGCGCCAGGUGAAAAGUCGCUUAAGGAUUAUUCAUCCAAUAUUGUUCUUAUCGACCCGUUGGCAAGUCUGGCAGCUGUUGAAGAAUUCCUUUGGCCUAGAGUUCAGCGCACUGAGUCAGUCUCAAAACCUGUAGUGUCAUCUGCAAAUAACUCGGAAUCUGGAGCAGCUAUUUCCACAGCUGGGGCACUAUCAAUUCCUUCAGCAACUCAAUCUGCACGUCGUGCCUCAUUAAGGUCAAAGUCCUCAGCUGCCACUAGUGGUGCAAUUAACAAGGAUCAUCAGGAGGGGAGCAUAAAUGCAUUAAAAGGAAAAGGUAAAGCUGUUCUAAAAUCGAGUUUGGAUGAACCAAAAGGCCCACAUACUAGGAAUGCUGCACGCAGAAAAGCUGCUUCAGAGAAUGAUGUUGAACUGAAGCCAUCAAAUGGCCACAGCACGUUAGAGGAUGAAGAUCUUGAUGCUUCUCCAGUUGAGAUUGAUGAUGCUUUAAUGAUUGAUGACGAUGAUGAGGAUGUCUCACAGGAUGAAGAUGCCGAUCAUGAGGUUCUCCAAGGGUCUCGUCCUGCCUGUGUUCCUGAGAGAGUGCAUGAUGUAAGAUUGGGAGAUGCUGAUGAUUCGAGUGUCGUCUCAUUGGCAAAUAGUAAUCAGGCACAGCCCUCAUCUGGUUCCAGUACAAAAAAUACUUCUAGCACAGGACUGGAUGCUGCUGAAUUUAGAAGUCCAAGCACAUUUGGUUCACGGGGUGCAAUGUCCUUUGCUGCAGCUGCAAUGGCUGGAUUAGGUAGUCGUGGUAUUAGAGGUAGUCGAGAUAGGAGUCGUGCAACUGAGCAUUACAAUAAAUUGAUAUUUACAGCUGGUGGGAAGCAGCUUAACAAACAUUUGACAGUAUAUCAAGCUGUACAACGGCAAGUAGUUCAUGAUGAUGAAGAUGUAGACCAGUUAGGUGGCUCUGAUUUACCUGAUGAUGGUAACCACUUCUGGGGUGAUGUAUUUACUGUAACAUAUCAGAAGGCUGAUUACGCAGUGGAGAAAGGGCCUGUGGGAGGUUCAGCUUCAGCGCCAAAAUUUUCCCAGUCAGAUUCUUGCAAACCAUUAUCUAGAAAACAGUGUACUUCCCUCCUUGAUAGUAUUUUGCAAGGAGAGCUUCCUUGUGAUUUAGAGAAAUCAAACCAAACCUACAACAUCUUAUCACUCUUACGUGUGUUGGAGGGCCUGAAUCAGUUAUCUCCUCGUCUGAGACUGCAGGCAACCUCCGAUAAUUUUGUGGAGGGAAAAGUUGCUACGCUAGAUGGACUGUAUGGUGUUGGAGCUAAGGUACCCCUGGAGGAGUUUGUCAACACUAAGAUGACCCCAAAGCUUGCUCGGCAAAUUCAGGAUGUUCUUGCACUGUGUAGUGGCAGUUUACCAUCUUGGUGUUAUCAGCUGACAAAAGCUUGUCCUUUUCUGUUUCCUUUUGAAACACGAAGACAAUACUUCUAUUCCACAGCUUUUGGGUUAUCUCGUGCACUGCAUCGUCUUCAGCAACAUCCGGGUGAUAAUAACAACACUGCCAUUGAAAGAGAAAUUCGGGUUGGUAGAUUGCAACGCCAGAAAGUCCGUGUUUCUCGUAACCGUAUCUUGGAUUCAGCAGCUAAAGUUAUGGAGAUGUUCUCCAAUCAGAAGGCUGUUCUAGAAGUUGAAUACUUCGGUGAAGUUGGAACUGGACUUGGUCCAACUUCAGAGUUUUAUACUCUCUUAAGCCAUGACCUGCAAAGGGUUGACUUAGGAUUAUGGAGAUCUCACUCUACAGGCAAUUCUGGCACGCAAAUUGAUGGGAAUGGAUAUCAUUUAAUAGGUAUAAAGCAUGAAUCAGAAUCACUUUUUGAGAGCAGGAAUGUAGUACAAGCACACCUUGGUUUGUUUCCUCAGCCCUGGCCACCUAGUGCUGCUGCAUUGGAAGGUAGCAAAUUCUUCAAAGUCGUCGAGUAUUUCCGAUUAGUUGGUCGUGUGAUGGCAAAAGCAUUGCAAGAUGGAAGGCUUCUUGACUUGCCUUUGUCGACAGCAUUUUACAAACUAUUACUUGGACAAGAACUUGAAUUGUAUGAUGUACUAUCAUUUGAUACUGAGUUUGGAAAGAUUUUGCAAGAGCUGCAAAUUCUUGUUGCACGUAAGCGAUUUCUGGAAUCCUGCUGCAGUGAUAGCCGAAAAAUAGAAGAAUUAUGCUUCCGUGGUGCUCCUGUUGAAGACCUGUGUUUAGACUUCACUCUUCCAGGCUAUCCUGAUUAUGUUCUAAAGGAAGGUGGAGAGAACGUGGUGGUUGACAUUUAUAACUUAGAAGAAUAUAUUUCUUUGGUUGUGGAUGCUACUGUUAAGACUGGAAUAAUGCGGCAAGUAGAGGCAAUGAAAGCAGGAUUUAAUCAGGUAUUCGACAUAUCAUCACUCCAAAUAUUUUCUCCUCAAGAACUUGAUUAUCUGAUUUGUGGUCGCCGUGAACUUUGGGAGCCGGAAAUACUGCUUGAACAUAUAAAAUUCGACCACGGUUAUACCUCUAAGAGUCCUGCAAUUGUCAAUUUUCUUGAGAUCAUGGCAGAAUUUACUCCUGAGCAGCAACAUUCUUUCUGCCAAUUUGUGACUGGUGCUCCUCGGCUUCCACCUGGUGGUUUGGCUGCCCUAAAUCCUAAAUUAACUAUUGUUAGGAAGCACUCUUCAUCUGCAGCAAAUACUACAAAUGCAACUGGAGCAAUAGAGUCUGCAGAUGACGAUUUGCCCAGUGUCAUGACUUGUGCUAACUAUCUUAAACUGCCACCUUACUCAACCAAGGAAUUCAAGAGUGAACUUACUUGAUGAUUAAGUUGACGAGCACGGACGGGAGUAAUGGGAUCAGAAACUGGUACUUGUGUCGGCGUAGAAAUUGGUAUUUGUGUCGGCGUGGAUGUAUCAUUGAUGGUGAUGUCCUCAUCAGAUUUUCUCUGGAUAGUUUCAAAUAUGAAAGUUGAAUGAUGAGUCUUGGUAAUGGCAAGCCAAAACUCUCGUUUCUCGGUGGCUGCCUUAUGCUUCGGUGUAGGCUAUCAUGUUAAAGAAACUGCUUUAUGCGAUCAAUGAAGGCCAAGGGUCAUUUGAUCUUUCGUAAGGCUCAAGACUAACAUAGAUAUUGGUCUCCCUUGACAUUUGCGACAUUGCUAGCCAGAGUUAGUUUCAACCUGUCAUGUAAGACAUAGGUUAAAGUCAGCUCACCCCCAGAGUCCGCUGAGGUUUCGAGCCCGCAUCUUUGGGUGUGCAUGUCUAUAUUCUCUGAUCACAUCUGGUUGUAUAUUCCUGUGGAUCUUUAUAGUGAAUAAUAAUAAAUUCUUUUUGUUAUAACCAAACUCCUUGGAAUCUGUUUCUAAGCUGUAAUACUUGGAUUUGCGAGCUCUCGUGAGCUCAUAGAGUGCAUGAUAGCUGGUUGUUACAGCGAAUGAUUAUUUGGAA
This is an RNA transcript of Setaria italica (foxtail millet), 6341 nucleotides long. It is a transcript of the gene named E3 ubiquitin-protein ligase UPL3, with no coding region annotated. The transcript is spliced from 18 exons. The record is from RefSeq and is a predicted model, not a curated record. Lineage: Eukaryota; Viridiplantae; Streptophyta; Magnoliopsida; Poales; Poaceae.